Molecule: ribosomal RNA, 600 nt
Filed under: uncultured bacterium
Lineage: Bacteria
Description: bacterial SSU rRNA
Rfam family: Bacterial small subunit ribosomal RNA
Source: RNAcentral
AGAGCGGCGUACGGGUGCGGAACACGUGUGCACUGCCUUUAUCUGGGGGAUAGCCUUUCGAAAGGAAGAUUAAUACCCCAUAAUAUGUUGAAUGGCAUCAUUCGACAUUGAAAAUUCCGGUGGAUAGAGAUGGGCACGCGCAAGAUUAGAUAGUUGGUGAGGUAACGGCUCACCAAGCCUACGAUCUUUAGGGGGGCCUGAGAGGGUGAUCCCCCACACUGGUACUGAGACACGGACCAGACUCCUACGGGAGGCAGCAGUGAGGAAUAUUGGACAAUGGAUGAGAGCCUGAUCCAGCCAUCCCGCGUGAAGGACGACUGCCCUAUGGGUUGUAAACUUCUUUUGUAUAGGGAUAAACCUACCCUCGUGAGGGUAGCUGAAGGUACUAUACGAAUAAGCACCGGCUAACUCCGUGCCAGCAGCCGCGGUAAUACGGAGGGUGCAAGCGUUAUCCGGAUUUAUGGGUUUAAAGGGUCGUAGGCGGAUCUGUAAAGUCAGUGGUGAAAUCUNCACAAGGUUUACUGUGAAACUUGGCCAUUGAUACUGCAGGGUCUUGGAGUGUUGUUGAAGUUACCUGGAAUAAGUUAGUGGUACGGGUGA